This 497-nucleotide ribosomal RNA is filed under the name uncultured bacterium. Its description in RNAcentral is "partial 16S ribosomal RNA". It matches the Rfam family "Bacterial small subunit ribosomal RNA", at positions 28 to 507 of the family's 1533-position model. The record is from RNAcentral.
GAUGAACGCUGGCGGCGUGCCUAAUACAUGCAAGUCGAGCGAACAGACGAUGAGCUUUCUCCUCUGACGUUAGCGGCGGACGGGUGAGUAACACGUGGAUAACCUACCUAUAAGACUGGGAUAACUUCGGGAAACCGGAGCUAAUACCGGAUAAUAUAUUGAACCGCAUGGUUCAAUAGUUAAAGACGGUUUUGCUGUCACUUAUAGAUGGAUCCGCGCCGCAUUAGCUAGUUGGUAAGGUAACGGCUUACCAAGGCAACGAUGCGUAGCCGACCUGAGAGGGUGAUCGGCCACACUGGAACUGAGACACGGUCCAGACUCCUACGGGAGGCAGCAGUAGGGAAUCUUGCGCAAUGGGCGAAAGCCUGACGGAGCAACGCCGCGUGAGUGAUGAAGGUCUUCGGAUCGUAAAACUCUGUUAUUAGGGAAGAACAAAUGUGUAAGUAACUAUGGACGUCUUGACGGUACCUAAUCAGAAAGCCACGGCUAACUACGUG